UACGGAGGGUGCAAGCGUUAUCCGGAUUCACUGGGUUUAAAGGGUGCGUAGGUGGGUUGAUAAGUCAGUGGUGAAAUCCCCGAGCUUAACUUGGGAACUGCCAUUGAUACUAUUGAUCUUGAAUACCGUGGAGGUCAGCGGAAUAUGUCAUGUAGCGGUGAAAUGCGUAGAUAUUGGGAGGAACACCAGUGGCGAAGGCGGCUACCUGGACCGGUUCUGACGCUGAUGCGCGAAAGCGUGGGUAGCAAGCAGG
Molecule: ribosomal RNA, 253 nt
Filed under: uncultured bacterium
Lineage: Bacteria
Description: partial 16S ribosomal RNA
Rfam family: Bacterial small subunit ribosomal RNA
Source: RNAcentral